Molecule: ribosomal RNA, 254 nt
Filed under: uncultured bacterium
Lineage: Bacteria
Description: partial 16S ribosomal RNA
Rfam family: Bacterial small subunit ribosomal RNA
Source: RNAcentral
UACGUAGGUGACAAGCGUUGUCCGGAUUUACUGGGCGUAAAGGGCGCGUAGGCGGCCAGCACAAGUCAGUUGUGAAAUCUCCGAGCUUAACUCGGAAAGGUCAACUGAUACUGUGCGGCUAGAGUGCGGAAGGGGCAACUGGAAUUCUUGGUGUAGCGGUGAAAUGCGUAGAUAUCAAGAGGAACACCUGCGGCGAAGGCGGGUUGCUGGGCCGACACUGACGCUGAGGCGCGAAAGCCAGGGGAGCGAACGGG